AACCAGAUGCUCCACAGGGCACAGCUUUAUACGACCGCAUAGGUUGAACCCUGAACGGUUGGGGCAAGUAUGGACACAACAUUCAAGCUGGAUUCAGCUCUAAAUUUGGAUUGUGAUUAAAUAGUUGACACAGCAUAGGUUUUGGACACAGAAUGAAUGUGGUCUAAUGAACUUAAAAUAUUUUUUUUGUCUUUGAGCAAUCACUAUGCUGUUGAAUAUUAAUCCUCUCAAAAAAAUGUUUGAAGAAAUUUUCUUUUUAUUUAUGAAAUCUGAAAUGAGAAAAAUUAAAACCCCCCCCCCCCCACAUUUUUUUUUCACAUCCCCUUUCCCUUUUUUCAAAACUGAUCUCAAUUCAAAUUUCUAAUGGAGUUUGCAACAAUAACUACUCAUUUAAAUACAUCAUAAAAUAUUAAAAUGUAACAAAAAGUGCUUGUUAUCACUGAAUGGUAAAGAGUGUUUUAAUUCAUCAGUUGGUAGUAAAAGUGAAUAUACAUUGUGCAUUGUAUAAAACAAUGAUUUAAGUUGAUUCAACUACUAUUCUGGACAAAGAAAGAUAACUCCAAUCAAUUGAAAAUUUCUUGCUAUUGCACGAUAUUGUGCAAUAAGAUAUUUCUUGCUAUUGCGCAAUACUGUGCAAUUGAAAAUAUUUGCUAUUGCACAAUACUGUGCAAUUGAAGAUUUCUUGCUAUUGCACAAUACUGUGCAAUUGAAC
This 712-nucleotide long non-coding RNA is filed under the name Mytilus galloprovincialis (Mediterranean mussel). The record is from RNAcentral. Lineage: Eukaryota; Metazoa; Mollusca; Bivalvia; Mytilida; Mytilidae.